AGUGAACGCUGGCGGUAGGCCUAACACAUGCAAGUCGAACGGCAGCACCCUACUUUCUUGCUCUUACGGGUUGCGAGUCGCGUACGGGUCAGGAAUAUAUCGUAAUCUACUUUUUCGUGUGGGUUCACGUAGCUAAACUUACUCUCAUACCGCAUCCGACCUACGGGUGAAAGCAUUGGAUCUUCGGACCUUGUGCGAUUGAAUGCGCCGGUUUCGGAUUAGCUAGUUGGCGGGGUACAGGCCCACCAAGGCGACGAUCCGUAGCUGGUCUGAGAGGAUGAUGAGCCACAGUGGAAGUGAGACACGGUCUAGAGACCGACGGGAGGCAGAAGUGGGGAAGAUUGGAAAAUGGGGGCAAGACUGAACCAGCCAUAGCACGUGGGUGAAGAAGGCCUUCGGGUUGUAAAGCCCUUUUGUGGGGAAAGAAAAGCAGCAGGUUAAAACCACGGUGAGCUAACGGUACCCAAAGAAUAAGCACCGGCUAACUUCGU
Molecule: ribosomal RNA, 491 nt
Filed under: uncultured bacterium
Lineage: Bacteria
Description: partial 16S ribosomal RNA
Rfam family: Bacterial small subunit ribosomal RNA
Source: RNAcentral